AACAGUAACAGUUCUUUUUACCCAGCAAAGUGCCUCCUCCAAGGUCCGCGAACCAUUGAGGGUUUUUGGGGGGUUUCAGGGCUGGGAGUAGAGAGAGCAUGAGUGAAGAUUGGACCACUCCCAGGACUAGACCAGAGAAUAGGAGAUUGCUGCUUACUGACUAUUAUAUUCCUACUACUCGACCUCUAGUAGGUGGUAGGUAUAUAGUACUUGAGUAUUAAUUUAAUAUCUGACUGUUAUUGAUAAGAACAGUCCUGAAUAUUAGUAUAUUGCUUUACAAUUCUUAAAGUGGCUUUCCGUGAUUCCCAAACAGCACCCAUCUCUUGAGCAGAGACCCAAGAGGGCAGGACAGGAAGAAUGGAAGUGAGAUUUGGCCCCGGUCAUGUUUUCCAAAGUGCUGACAUCAGGAAAAUAAUAGAAGUUAACGCAGAUAUGGGGCUGCCACUGAGGAGAGAGAAGACUGAAAGAAGCAUAUAGAUAAAAGAUUAUCUGAGUAGGCUGAACCAUCGGUGAAAAGGAGGCCAAGCAUCUCAAAAAUAGGACACGUGAGAGUAUGGAGCCAAUGUGACACUCAGGUGAGUUAGCCUUAUGAUCCCUAAGCAUGCAGUCCUUGGACCAGAUGCAUCAGGAUCUUCUGGUAAGUGUGCUAAAAUAUAGGCUACUGAGACCCACCCUAUGUCUGUCAAAUCAGAAUAUUCUAAGGAAGCAGGUCCCAGGGAAUAUAUAUUUUAAAGCUCCCUAAAUACACUUCAUGGGCUGCCAGAUUUGGGAAUCGCAGGAUUAGGUAGCUACCUAAAUGAAGACACUUAAAUGUGCCAAAAGCUUCUCUUUCACCCAUCCAUUUAUCCAUCUAUUCACCCAUCCAUCAACCAAACAUGUGCCAGUAUCUGGUAUUUGCUUCAUGACCUGCUACUGCUGUGGUGGGUGCAAAGAUAAAUGAUCAAUGUUCUCAAAGAGUCAAUAGUCUAAGAGAAUGGAUGAAUGAAGUAUAAAUAAUAAAAGAUGUGCUAUGAAGUACGAUAGGGGUCCAGAAAAGUAUAUACUUAUUCCAGAUUGUGGCAGAAGACUCUGGAGAGGUUUCGUUUUAUAUAAUGGCAUGAAUUCCCCUUCAGAUCCAUCUCUAAAUCAAGCUUCACCUACUUCUGACUGUUUGUGUUAGAUACCAAUCCUAUGGAUUUCUAUAGUUUUCUGGAAUUACUUUUUACACACUACAGUAGAGUUAUGUGGCUGCUUCCAUGUUUUACUUAGAAGCUGAGAGCUUGAUAAAAGUGAAGGCUGCAUCUUAAUCAUCACCUUUUCCCCCACCUCCUAGCUAGGGUCUGGCUCUGCCUAAGCAGCUGCCAUUGGUGCUCAAUAAACAUUGAAGAAGUUGGGUUGUUGCACUGGUUAUGCAAAGAAAGGGACACAGUGGGUGUAAGCGUGGGGCGGGGAGCAAAGCUGGGACCAAUCAUGGAACACCUAGAAUUUGAAUCAAAUUUGGGCUUUAGUUUUUAGGCAAUGAGCCUAAGACAAUUUUGGAAGCAUCCUUUGUUCACAAAAAAGUUAGAAAUGGUGAGAACUAGGGCAGUCUAUCACAAAGUGUGGGAGAGGUA
RNAcentral lists this long non-coding RNA (1592 nucleotides) under Homo sapiens (human). RNAcentral's name for it is "HSALNT0330329". The record is from RNAcentral. Lineage: Eukaryota; Metazoa; Chordata; Mammalia; Primates; Hominidae.